GUCAUUAAGUCCAUUAAGCCUAGUUGCUUAGCGUUGGGAGCAUUACCGUACGGUAACUCCUCAAAGUCAGUGGCAGGGUUACGGUACACUCUAAGCGUAGUAGAUUUCUUUCUCGCUUUUGUUGUGGCCGCGGCCGUUGCCAUAAACCUAUACUUUUUAGUUGGUUGACCUCGGAUCAGGUAGGAAUACCCGCUGAACUUAAGCAUAUCAAUAAGCGGAGGAAAAGAAACCAACAGGGAUUGCCUUAGUAACGGCGAGUGAAGCGGCAACAGCUCAAAUUUGAAAUCUGGCCCCAGGCCCGAAUUGUAAUUUGUAGAGGAUGCUUUUGGUGCGGUACCUUCCGAGUUCCCUGGAACGGGACGCCUUAGAGGGUGAGAGCCCCGUACGGUUGGAUGCCUAGCCUCUGUAAAGCUCCUUCGACGAGUCGAGUAGUUUGGGAAUGCUGCUCUAAAUGGGAGGUAAAUUUCUUCUAAAGCUAAAUACCGGCCAGAGACCGAUAGCGCACAAGUAGAGUGAUCGAAAGAUGAAAAGCACUUUGAAAAGAGGGUUAAAUAGUACGUGAAAUUGUUGAAAGGGAAGCGCUUAUGACCAGACUUUUGCCCUGCGGAUCAUCUGGUGUUCUCACCGGUGCACUUCGCUUGGUUUAGGCCAGCGUCGAUUUUGGUAGGGGGAU
RNAcentral lists this ribosomal RNA (673 nucleotides) under Xylariomycetidae sp. genotype 542. RNAcentral's name for it is "eukaryotic LSU rRNA". The stretch from base 166 to 673 matches the Rfam family "Eukaryotic large subunit ribosomal RNA", at positions 1 to 515 of the family's 3401-position model. The record is from RNAcentral. Lineage: Eukaryota; Fungi; Ascomycota; Sordariomycetes.